This 409-nucleotide RNase P RNA is filed under the name Nigerium massiliense. RNAcentral's name for it is "Bacterial RNase P class A". It matches the Rfam family "Bacterial RNase P class A". From Rfam's summary of the family: Ribonuclease P (RNase P) is a ubiquitous endoribonuclease, found in archaea, bacteria and eukarya as well as chloroplasts and mitochondria. Its best characterised activity is the generation of mature 5'-ends of tRNAs by cleaving the 5'-leader elements of precursor-tRNAs. Cellular RNase Ps are ribonucleoproteins. Lineage: Bacteria; Bacillati; Actinomycetota; Actinomycetes; Propionibacteriales; Propionibacteriaceae. The record is from RNAcentral.
GAGUCGGCCGGGCGGUCGCGGCGCCGCGGCGUCGAGGAAAGUCCGGACUCCACAGGGCAGGGUGGUGGGUAACGCCCACCCGGGGUGACCCGCGGGACAGUGCCACAGAAAACAGACCGCCCUGGAACGCGGUGGGCGACCACCGGCCGCCAGGGUAAGGGUGAAACGGUGGUGUAAGAGACCACCAGCGCCCCAGGUGACUGGGGCGGCUCGGUAAACCCCACCCGGAGCAAGACCAAGAAGGGCCUUCGGGCCCGCGGACGCCGUUCGAGCGUUGCCCGCGCGAGGCGUCCGGGUAGGUUGCACGGCUCUGCCUCCGGGCAGGCCGAAGGCGGUUGGCAACAGCCGUCGCAGAUGGAUGAUCGCCGGCCCAUGCGGUCACAGAAUCCGGCUUAUAGGCCGGCUCGUC